UACGGAGGGUGCGAGCGUUGUUCGGAAUUACUGGGCGUAAAGCGCGUGUAGGCGGUCGCCUAAGUCUGAUGUGAAAGCCCGAGGCUUACCCUCGGAAGCGCAUUGGAAACUGGGCGACUGGAGUAUCGGAGAGGAGGGUGGAAUUCCUGGUGUAGCGGUGAAAUGCGUAGAUAUCAGGAAGAACACCGGUGGCGAAGGCGGCCCUCUGGACGAACACUGACGCUGAGACGCGAAAGCGUGGGGAGCAAACAGG
This 253-nucleotide ribosomal RNA is filed under the name uncultured bacterium. RNAcentral's name for it is "partial 16S ribosomal RNA". It matches the Rfam family "Bacterial small subunit ribosomal RNA", at positions 524 to 776 of the family's 1533-position model. The record is from RNAcentral.